AAAGUACUCCCUCCGUCCCAAAAUUCUUGUCUGAUAUUUGUUUAGAUACGAAUGUAUCUAGUCAAAUUUAGUAUUUAGAUACAUCCAUUUGUAGACAAAGCUAAGACAAGAAUUUUGGGACGGAGGGAGUAUCAU
This 135-nucleotide microRNA precursor is filed under the name Hordeum vulgare. RNAcentral's name for it is "microRNA MIR1122". It matches the Rfam family "MIR1120/MIR1122 microRNA precursor family". The record is from RNAcentral. Lineage: Eukaryota; Viridiplantae; Streptophyta; Magnoliopsida; Poales; Poaceae.